AACAAGACGGAAGAGAGUCACUCUUACCGUCGCGCAUACCAAAAGCGGGUCUGCCGCCUUCGUUUCUCUUUCUUCAGCGAAUGACUUUGACUUGCGCUCGCGCGCCGUACCGGCCUUCGGCCUGGCGCUCCGCGAGGGCGCGGCACGAGCCGCGACGGCCAUCUCUUUCGUCAAAGGUGGCGGCCUUGCGAGACGUGCGUCUCGUUGGCGAAAGCCGAUCAAAGGCGCAGUCUAAGGGCUUGUAGCUCAGUUGGUUAGAGCGCGCGCUUGAUAAGCGUGAGGUCGGAGGUUCAAGUCCUCCCAGGCCCACCAUUCCUUUCGACACGAAGGUUAUCAGGGGCCGUAGCUCAGCUGGGAGAGCGCCUGCUUUGCAAGCAGGAUGUCGUCGGUUCGAUCCCGUCCGGCUCCACCAAUGCGCGAUCUCGAAGAGAUCGUCGCUCCAACCACCCUCUUGCGAGGUUGGCUAAGCGCGAUCCGAAAGGAUCGCGUGUGGGUGUCGAGUAGAGGCGGCGAGAAAAAAGUCAUUCGAUAUAAGAGUUUGCGUCGAGCUUCGUGCUCUGCGCCUGUUCUGUUUGACAUCGUAAAGAGAAGAUUUGUUCGAACUUCAUGGGUUCCGAAAGGGCCAUGAUUUGUCGCUGGAGACGCUCAAUCUCCAGCAUAUGAUGGGUUUGCCUAACCGCGCCCUCGAACGGAUCUCGAGAAGCUGGUCUUUUUGUG
This 717-nucleotide transfer RNA is filed under the name Mesorhizobium sp. RNAcentral's name for it is "partial 16S-23S ribosomal RNA intergenic spacer". The stretch from base 236 to 309 matches the Rfam family "tRNA". The record is from RNAcentral. Lineage: Bacteria; Pseudomonadati; Pseudomonadota; Alphaproteobacteria; Hyphomicrobiales; Phyllobacteriaceae.